AACGAACGCUGGCGGCAUGCCUAACACAUGCAAGUCGAACGAGACCUUCGGGUCUAGUGGCGCACGGGUGCGUAACGCGUGGGAACCUGCCCUUAGGUUCGGAAUCACUCCCCGAAAGGGGUGCUAAUACCGGAUAAUGUCUUCGGACCAAAGAUUUAUCGCCUUUGGAUGGGCCCGCGUUGGAUUAGCUAGUUGGUAGGGUAAAAGCCUACCAAGGCGACGAUCCAUAGCUGGUCUGAGAGGAGGACCAGCCACACUGGGACUGAGACACGGCCCAGACUCCUACGGGAGGCAGCAGUGGGGAAUAUUGGACAAGGGGCGAAAGCCUGAUCCAGCAAUGCCGCGUGAGUGAUGAAGGCCUUAGGGUUGUAAAGCUCUUUUACCCGGGAUGAUAAUGACAGUACCGGGAGAAUAAGCUCCGGCUAACUCCGUG
This 433-nucleotide ribosomal RNA is filed under the name uncultured bacterium. RNAcentral describes it as "partial 16S ribosomal RNA". It matches the Rfam family "Bacterial small subunit ribosomal RNA", at positions 29 to 507 of the family's 1533-position model. The record is from RNAcentral.